AGAGUUUGAUCCUGGCUCAGAGCGAACGCUGGCGGCAUGCUUAACACAUGCAAGUCGCACGGUCGGGGCAACCCGGCAGUGGCGGACGGGUGAGUAACGCGUAGGAAUCUAUCCACUGGUGGGGGAUAACCGCGGGAAACUGCGGCUAAUACCGCAUGAUGCCUUCGGGCCAAAGGCGCGAGUCGCCUGUGGAGGAGCCU
RNAcentral lists this ribosomal RNA (200 nucleotides) under uncultured bacterium. RNAcentral describes it as "partial 16S ribosomal RNA". It matches the Rfam family "Bacterial small subunit ribosomal RNA", at positions 8 to 232 of the family's 1533-position model. The record is from RNAcentral.